AACAGUCAGUAACAGGAAGAACAGUCAGUAACAGGGAGGGACAGGAAGAACAGUCAGUAACAGGGAGGGACAGGAACAACAGUCAGUAACAGGAAGAACAGUCAGUAACAGUCAGUAACAAGAAUAACAGUCAGUAACAGGGAGGGACAGGAACAACAGUCAGUAAAAGGGAGGGACAGGAAGAACAGUCAGUAACCGGAAGAACAGUCAGUAACAGGAAGAGCAGUCAGUAACAGGGAGGGACAGGAACAACAGUCAGUAACAGGAAGAGCAGUCAGUAACAGGGAGGGACAGGAACAACAGUCAGUAACAGGGAGGGACAGGAACAACAGUCAGUAACAGGAAGAACAGUCAGUAACAGGGAGGGACAAGAAUAACAGUCAGUAACAGGGAGGGACAGGAACAACAGUCAGUAACAGGAAGAACAGUCAGUAACAGUCAGUAACAAGAAUAACAGUCAGUAACAGGGAUGGACAGGAAGAACAGUCAGUAACAGGAAGAACAGUCAGUAACAGGGAGGGACAGGAACAACAGUCAGUAACAGGGAGGGACAGGAACAACAGUCAGUAACAGGAAGAACAGUCAGUAACAGGGAGGGACAGGAAGAACAGUCAGUAACAGGAAGAACAGUCAGUAACCGGGAGGGACAGGAAGAACAGUCAGUAACAGGGAGGGACAGGAAGAACAGUCAGUAACAGGAAGAACAGUCAGUAACAGGGAGGGUUCCCAGUUGAACUUCACAGCUCCCAACACAGGAAGUACGAGAGGAAGCAAUAGGAAGGAGAAGAUGGAGGAAGUGUGGCUCAUUUGUUCUGGCUUAUACUGAAGAGGCAUGACUCUCCCUCGUAAAAAGUGGUUUGUUAUUCAACGAAGAGCUUCAUUAAGUAUAAAAUGUAUUAAUAGCUACAGAACAAUAGUUUCUAAUCUCAAGGACAGACUUUUACACACAACUCAACAAGCCAGGUCCAGGAAAAUACCAAGUCUACUCCAACUGCCUGUGUUACAACACCCUGAUAUAACAGUGUAGUUCUGGUUAG
This is a long non-coding RNA of Oncorhynchus tshawytscha (Chinook salmon), 1037 nucleotides long. NCBI's taxonomy places the organism in Eukaryota, Metazoa, Chordata, Actinopteri, Salmoniformes, Salmonidae. The record is from Ensembl.